This 495-nucleotide ribosomal RNA is filed under the name uncultured bacterium. Its description in RNAcentral is "partial 16S ribosomal RNA". It matches the Rfam family "Bacterial small subunit ribosomal RNA", at positions 28 to 507 of the family's 1533-position model. The record is from RNAcentral.
GACGAACGCUGGCGGCGUGCCUAAUACAUGCAAGUAGAACGCUGAAGGAGGAGCUUGCUUCUCCGGAUGAGUUGCGAACGGGUGAGUAACGCGUAGGUAACCUGCCUGGUAGCGGGGGAUAACUAUUGGAAACGAUAGCUAAUACCGCAUAAUAGUAGAUGUUGCAUGACAUUUGCUUAAAAGGUGCAAUUGCAUCACUACCAGAUGGACCUGCGUUGUAUUAGCUAGUUGGUGGGGUAACGGCUCACCAAGGCGACGAUACAUAGCCGACCUGAGAGGGUGAUCGGCCACACUGGGACUGAGACACGGCCCAGACUCCUACGGGAGGCAGCAGUAGGGAAUCUUCGGCAAUGGACGGAAGUCUGACCGAGCAACGCCGCGUGAGUGAAGAAGGUUUUCGGAUCGUAAAGCUCUGUUGUAAGAGAAGAACGAGUGUGAGAGUGGAAAGUUCACACUGUGACGGUAUCAUACCAGAAAGGGACGGCUAACUACGUG